This 575-nucleotide long non-coding RNA is filed under the name Ananas comosus (pineapple). RNAcentral describes it as "long non-coding RNA (ACOM_LNC020916)". The record is from RNAcentral. Lineage: Eukaryota; Viridiplantae; Streptophyta; Magnoliopsida; Poales; Bromeliaceae.
CAAUUUUCGAGAUGCAAGCCAUGAGUCGGAACAUUAUCAACGACCCUCCAAAAACUGUGAAAAGUAUCAGAACACAGAUCAAACACUCGAACCUCGCAAUUUGCAAAGGUCCAGUGUGCUACAUCCUCUUCUCCAAGCUUAAAGGAUAAUAAUUUUAUUCUUAUAUGGAGAUAUUAUAUUAUAAAUAUAUAAUUAUUUAUUAAUACCCUUAAAUAUAUAACUAGUUUACAUUAUGUUACAUAUUUAUUAUAUAAUAUAAUUUUAAAUAUAAUUAAUUUUUAGAUAUAAAUUAUUAUAAUAAGGUAGUAUAUUAUAGUAAUUGUUAUAUAUAAAUAAUAUUACAUAAUCAAAAUAUAUAUUGAAUAAUUUUUAUUUAUUUAUUUAUUUUUCUUUCAACCAAAAAACUGUAAUGAAAAGCUAGUUUUCUUUUUCCCACAAGCCAAAUACUAAAAACAUAAAAUUUAUUUUUUUUCGAAAAUUUUUUUUCUACUGAAAAUUUGCUUUCACAUUUUUAUGUAGAACCAAACAGCCCCUUAACUAGGGUAAACAAUUCGGGUCAGAAUUUAGACAUUCAU